Molecule: ribosomal RNA, 253 nt
Filed under: uncultured bacterium
Lineage: Bacteria
Description: partial 16S ribosomal RNA
Rfam family: Bacterial small subunit ribosomal RNA
Source: RNAcentral
GACGUAGGGCGCGAGCGUUGUCCGGAUUUAUUGGGCGUAAGGAGCUCGUAGGCGGCUUGUUACGUCGGCUGUGAAAUCCCGCGGCUCAACUGCGGGUCUGCAGCCGAUACGGGCAGGCUAGAGUUCGGUAGGGGAGACUGGAAUUCCUGGUGUAGCGGUGAAAUGCGCAGAUAUCAGGAGGAACACCGGUGGCGAAGGCGGGUCUCUGGGCCGAUACUGACGCUGAGGAGCGAAAGCGUGGGGAGCGAACAGG